Molecule: ribosomal RNA, 231 nt
Filed under: uncultured bacterium
Lineage: Bacteria
Description: partial 16S ribosomal RNA
Rfam family: Bacterial small subunit ribosomal RNA
Source: RNAcentral
GAUCAUGGCUCAGGACGAACGCUGGCGGCGUGCCUAACACAUGCAAGUCGAACGAGAAUCAAUGGAUGGAGUUUUCGGACAACUGAAGUUGAGGAAAGUGGCGGACGGGUGAGUAACGCGUGAGCAACCUGCCUUGGAGUGGGGGACAACAGAGGGAAACUUCUGCUAAUACCGCAUAAAGUGCCGUGAGGGCAUCCUCGUGGCACCAAAGAUUUAUCGCUCUGAGAUGGG